UACGGGGGGGGCAAGCGUUGUUCGGAAUUACUGGGCGUAAAGGGCUCGUAGGCGGCCAACUAAGUCGGACGUGAAAUCCCCAGGCUCAACCUGGGAACUGCGUCCGAUACUGUAUGGCUUGAAUCCGGGAGAGGGAUGCAGAAUUCCAGGUGUAGCGGUGAAAUGCGUAGAUAUCUGGAGGAAUACCGGUGGCGAAGGCGGCAUCCUGGACCGGCAUUGACGCUGAGGAGCGAAAGCUAGGGGAGCAAACGGG
RNAcentral lists this ribosomal RNA (253 nucleotides) under uncultured bacterium. RNAcentral describes it as "partial 16S ribosomal RNA". It matches the Rfam family "Bacterial small subunit ribosomal RNA", at positions 524 to 776 of the family's 1533-position model. The record is from RNAcentral.